UAUUGGGCAAUGGACGCAAGUCUGACCCAGCCACGCCGCGUGAGGGAUGACGGCCCUAUGGGUUGUAAACUUCUUUUGUAUGGGAAGAAACCCCCGAACGUGUUCGGGGCUGACGGUACCAUAAGAAUAAGCAUCGGCUAACUCCGUGCCAGCAGCCGCGGUAAUACGGAGGAUGCAAGCGUUGUCCGGAUUCAUUGGGUUUAAAGGGUGCGUAGGCGGAGAACUAAGUCAGUGGUGAAAGCUUACGGCUUAACUGUAAAAUUGCCAUUGAAACUGAUUUUCUUGAGUUCGAUUGAGGUAGAUGGAAUGUAUCAUGUAGCGGUGAAAUGCUUAGAUAUGAUACAGAACACCAAUUGCGAAGGCAGUCUACUAAGUCGAUACUGACGCGAGGCACGAAA
This 398-nucleotide ribosomal RNA is filed under the name uncultured bacterium. Its description in RNAcentral is "bacterial SSU rRNA". It matches the Rfam family "Bacterial small subunit ribosomal RNA", at positions 362 to 758 of the family's 1533-position model. The record is from RNAcentral.